AUUGAACGCUGGCGGCAGGCCUAACACAUGCAAGUCGAGCGAGCGGCGGACGGGUGAGUAAUGUCUGGGAAACUGCCUGAUGGAGGGGGAUAACUACUGGAAACGGUAGCUAAUACCGCAUACCAUCAGAAGUGCCCAGAUGGGAUUAGCUAGUAGGUGGGGGAAUGGCUCACCUAGGCGACGAUCCCUAGCUGGUCUGAGAGGAUGACCAGCCACACUGGGACGGAGACACGGUCCAGACUCCUGCGAGAGGCAGCAGUGGGGACUAUUGCACAAUGGGCGCAAGCCUGAUACAGCCGUGCCGCGUGUGUGAAGAAGGCCUUCGGGUUGUAAAGCACUUUUAGCAGGGAAGCGAUACCUGCAGAAUAAGCACCGGCUAACUCCGUGCCAGCCGCCGCGGUAAUUC
RNAcentral lists this ribosomal RNA (406 nucleotides) under uncultured bacterium. RNAcentral describes it as "partial 16S ribosomal RNA". It matches the Rfam family "Bacterial small subunit ribosomal RNA", at positions 30 to 526 of the family's 1533-position model. The record is from RNAcentral.